This 326-nucleotide long non-coding RNA is filed under the name Bos mutus (wild yak). RNAcentral describes it as "lncRNA (ENSBMUG00000016328.1)". The record is from RNAcentral. Lineage: Eukaryota; Metazoa; Chordata; Mammalia; Artiodactyla; Bovidae.
AGGCCGCCUCCGCGCCACAAUCCACGGGCGCCGGCCAGCCAAGGUCUCCGCGCUCUCCCGGGCCCAGGCCGGCUCCGCCUUGCACACUUCCCGGGAGCAGUUUCCCAGCACAGACUUGGGUGCGUUGUUCAGACAAAGAGUCAAACGCAGGGACUGCACAGUUGAACAACCCUGAGCUGUUGGCGUCCUCUGAAACUCUCCUCCUGGAACUCACUUCCGUCUGGAGAGACCUCAAGAAUGAAGAUUGGAUCCGAGUCCCAGCCUAUGAAGAUUUUCUUGCCGAUUUCGAACGUGAAAGGAAAAUGAAAUAAACACGUAAUAAAAGC